This 429-nucleotide ribosomal RNA is filed under the name Bacteroidota bacterium. Its description in RNAcentral is "Bacteroidetes bacterium partial 16S ribosomal RNA". It matches the Rfam family "Bacterial small subunit ribosomal RNA", at positions 355 to 776 of the family's 1533-position model. The record is from RNAcentral. Lineage: Bacteria; Pseudomonadati; Bacteroidota.
UAGGGAAUCUUCCGCAAUGGACGCAAGUCUGACGGAGCAACGCCGCGUGAGUGAAGAAAGAUUUCGGUUCGUAAAACUCUGUUGUUAGAGAAGAACAGCGCAUAGAGUAACUGUUAUGCGUGUGACGGUAUCUAACCAGAAAGCCACGGCUAACUACGUGCCAGCAGCCGCGGUAAUACGUAGGUGGCAAGCGUUGUCCGGAUUUAUUGGGCGUAAAGCGAGCGCAGGCGGUCAAUUAAGUCUGAUGUGAAAGCCCCCGGCUCAACCGGGGAGGGUCAUUGGAAACUGGUUGACUUGAGUGCAGAAGAGGAGAGUGGAAUUCCAUGUGUAGCGGUGAAAUGCGUAGAUAUAUGGAGGAACACCAGUGGCGAAGGCGACUCUCUGGUCUGUAACUGACGCUGAGGCUCGAAAGCGUGGGUAGCAAACAGG